Molecule: RNA transcript, 5522 nt
Organism: Felis catus (domestic cat)
Lineage: Eukaryota; Metazoa; Chordata; Mammalia; Carnivora; Felidae
Gene name: proline dehydrogenase 1, mitochondrial
Exons: 17
Source: RefSeq, a predicted model, not a curated record
UGGCUCAGCAUCAGGCGCGCAUCCUAAGGCAGGGCGGGCGGGGCCUCCCGAAGAGAAAGCGCGGGUCCUGGGGCGGGGCCUUUAGAAGAGAGCGCGGCUGAGCUCGGAGCGAGGCGGGGCCGGCCGCGCGUACUUAAGCAGUCUUGGCGCUUGCGGACGCCCCGCCAUGGCUCUGAGGUGCAUCGUUUCUGUGCUGCGCUUCGGCACUCCCCGCGUCGCCCCACUGUCCACGGCGCCCGUGGCUCGCGAGCAGUCCGCGGCUGGCGAGCAGUCCGCCGCAGGCCGGGAGGCCACUCCAGGAUGCCGGGCGGCCGAAGGUGCGCGACCGCCGUUGCCCGUCGUGGACUUUGGCAACACUCAGGAGGCGUACCGCAGCCGGCGCAGCUGGGAACUGGCGCGCAGCCUGCUGGUGUUGCGCUUGUGCGCCUCACCUGCGCUGCUGGCGCACCACGAGCAGCUGCUCCAUCUCACCAGGAGACUUCUGGGGCAAAGGCUGUUUGACAAGCUGAUGAAGAUGACCUUCUAUGGACAGUUUGUGGCUGGUGAGGACCAGGAGUCCAUCCGGCCCCUGAUCCAGCACAACAGGGCCUUUGGCGUGGGCUCCAUCCUGGACUACGGGGUGGAGGAGGAUCUGAGCCCCCAGGAGGCAGAGCACAAGGAGAUGGAGUCCUGUACAUCGGCUGUAGAGAGGGAGGGCAGUGGUACAAGUAAGAGGGAGAAGCAGUACCAGGCCCACCGGGCCUUUGGAGACCGCAGGGAUGGUGUCAUCAGUGCCCGCACCUACUUCUAUGCCAAUGAAGCCAAGUGUGACAGCCACAUGGAGACGUUCUUGCGCUGCAUUGAGGCUUCAGGCAGAGCCAGUGAUGAUGGCUUCUCAGCCAUCAAGCUCACCGCAUUGGGGAGACCCCAGUUUCUGCUGCAGUUCUCAGACGUGCUGACCAAGUGGAGACGAUUCUUUCACCAAAUGGCUGCAGAGCAAGGGAAGGCUGGGCUGGCUGCCACGGACAUGAAGCUGGAGGUGGCAGUGCUACAGGAAAGUGUGGCAAAGAUGGGCAUCGCAUCCAGGACGGAGAUUGAGAGCUGGUUCACUGCGGAGACCUUGGGCGUGUCUGGCACUCUGGACCUACUGGACUGGAGCAGCCUCAUCGACAGCAGGACUGAGCUCUCUAAGCACCUGGUGGUCCCUAACAUGCAGACAGGACAGCUGGAGCCUCUCCUGUCACAGUUCACGGAGGAGGAAGAGCUGCAGAUGACGAGGAUGCUGCAAAGAAUGGACAUCCUGGCCAAGAAAGCCACUGAGGUGGGUGUGCGGCUGAUGGUGGAUGCCGAGCAGACCUACUUCCAGCCAGCCAUCAGCCGCCUGACACUGGAAAUGCAGCGCAAGUUCAACAUAGAGAAGCCGCUCAUCUUCAACACAUACCAGUGCUACCUCAAGGACGCCUAUGACAACGUCACCCUGGAUGUGGAGCUGGCUCGCCGUGAGGGCUGGUGCUUUGGGGCCAAGCUGGUGCGGGGUGCAUAUAUGGCCCAGGAACGCGCCCGUGCCGCGGAGAUUGGCUAUGAGGACCCCAUUAACCCUACGUAUGAGGCCACUCAUGCCAUGUAUCACAGGUGCCUCAAUUAUGUCCUGGAGGAGCUGAAGCACAAUGCCAAGGCCAAAGUGAUGGUGGCCUCUCACAAUGAGGACACAGUUCGCUUCACGCUGCGCAGGAUGGAGGAGCUGGGCCUGCACCCUGCUGACCGUCAGGUGUACUUUGGACAGCUACUGGGCAUGUGUGAUCAGAUCAGCUUCCCACUAGGACAACUCAUCCCCAUUCCUGUCCUUGUACACAAGGAAGACGUCUCUGGUGAUUUGGAAGAUUCUGAUACAUAGAUCAACAAUAGUUCAUCACAGAGGCCCCACUGAGACCCAGUCUGAGCUGCCUGUUGCUGCAAGACCCCAACCUUCAAGCAAGUGUGGUGCCCACAGAAGCCCCUUGUGCCUUGCUGCUUGCAGCUUGUCGAGUCCCUGAUGCCAUGCUUAAGGCUGCCUUCCUUCAACAUCUUCCUAGAAGCUUCUUCAUGAUCUUCAACUGGAGAUUUUUCUGUGGGAACAGACAUCAGAGCAAAACUGCUCUUACACGUCAUUGGAAUGGGCCCCAAUCAGCAGUCAUGUUGCUGGUCCAUUGCAUUCUAUCUGGAGUCUUAAAUGCAUUUAUGUAAAAUGAUCUCGCAUCAGGUGACUGCUGUGAUGAGAACAAACUGGUCAUGAAGGUCAUCCUCCAAGACAGUUAACUAUGAAGAUGGCUGACAGUGUCCAGCAGCAAAGUAUGGGAUCUCAGGUUUUCUCUGAAUGGGCCAACCUCUCAAAAGUGAGAUCAUAACCAAAAUGGGGGACUGAGAAUGGAAGAUACAAAAGAACAGUGGCCUGGCCAUAUAUAAAAAUAGGACUCUGACAUGAGGUCUGCAGCAACCAGCCCAGGAAAUCAACCCACUUUCUUCAGUUUUGGCAUAUUACCUAGAAGUCAGACGUGUAGGUGUCAGACCGCUCUCUCGAGCAAACAGCCCCGGAAGCUAAAUAAUAACCUCUGUAUUGAAUUGACUGGCCCAAAAUGGCCAAGACUUGAUUUGCCACUGCGAGUAUCCCUGAAUUUUGUCCUCACUUGCAACUUAAGACCAGCAGAUAAAACCACAGAUGCACCCCUAACAAUGAUAUAGGAUGCCCUUCUUCUAGAACACUCACCAUAGCUUCCUUACGCCAAUAGUCUCCUGCAUCACUGAGGCCUUGUAUUAUUCUGUCUCUACAAAGUUUCUCUAACUUCUGUCCAUCUCUGAGUCUGCCUAAAGGCAAGGGAUAGUGGCUGACUCCCUUGCUCUAGCAAAUUUUGAAGAAAUCACCUGUACUUAUUAUCAUUUGUUUUGUCUUUAUUUGUAUCCACAGCAACACUGAGUAGUGUCAAAAAACACUGAAUGGUUCAGGUAGGGAGCUGGGCUAAGUCAAGAGUGCUGGGCCCACCCUGCUGGGGACCCACUGAAGUCUGCUUCUAGCUCAAGUACUCCUUACACUGGUAUUUUCCUGAUUUGGGUGGUUCUGGAAAUGCAUAACUUUCCCAUUCCUUUCAACUCCCUAGACUUCUCCAGCAAGCAUCUGGUUCCAGAAGUUCUGUGGUCUUGGUGUUCAGCUUUGGAAACAUUGAGACCAAGUUCUGAAACAACCAUGUGGAACUGCUGAGUAAGAAAGCCGAGAUGGUGUGGGCUAGAGAUUUUAAAAUUGAAUCGAGGCCAUCCUAGGUCAGAAAGAUUGGAAAUUAUCAGUAUAGAUGCUACCUAAAAGAAAAAGAAAGUAGGAAAAUAUGUCUGGUGAUCCUCAAGUGGUGUCCUGGGGAGGGGGUCUCCAAGAUGUGGUUAUGGGGAAGGCACUCCCAGAGGAGAUAAGGCUCUGUCCCCUGCCACAAAAGGGUCUAGACUCAUCCAAAGGAUGACGAGUCUGUAGAAACUGGAUCUGGGGGAUGAAGGAAGGAGCAGGGAAAGUGGAUACUCAGAGCCAGAACAGCUAGGCUUAGUCCAUGCAGCUUAGACACUUGAAUCAAUAGCCAGUGAGACAUGGAAGGCCACAGACAAUUUAUGAAGCCACCAAAGCACUAGCCCAGGUGGCCACUUUCCCAAUUACUUCACAAUACCUGCUCAGCCAGAGCUGGUCAGUUGAAGGGAAGCUAAUUCUUAGCAGAGCCAUCAUGUGACCAUUGGUUUGGAAUGUCCUGGCUUCUGAGUCAGCUUGGGAGCCAAACAACCCUGGUCACUGAGGGUGUUCAACUGGUCACCUGGAAGACACCACGUGGGAUGGCUGAUGGUGUGAAGAUGCCGGAGAAGGGUGGCCCACGUUGGGCUUCCCCUCAUCCUUCAGAGGGGCUUCACUUGGGGGCAACUGCAUCGUGUUUUGGGUCAAGGAUUGAAACCUAGAGAUGGGAGACUGAGUUAGGAUCUGGGUUUUUCUCUUGGCUCAGGCACCUCCUCCAAGGCAUCAACUGUCUCCUUCACAGAAAAUGGGGCAGGAGGAUUUGAGGAAGAGACUGAGGGGCCCCUGGUUAGGGGUGCAGGGCAUGAUUUCAGGUGUUCAGUGAUCUCUCUCUCCAGGGAACCAGCUAAAUUUCUGUCUUGAACACCCAACUAAACAGUUUAGUGACUUUUGGUGAGUCACUUUUUCUCUCUAAAUUUGAAUGCCCCCACUGUAAAAUACAGAUGAUAGGCCCUGCUCUGCCGCCUCCCACCUCAACAGGGCUGACACAGAAACCACAGGAGAUCACAGAUAUUCUCUUUGAGCUGUAAGCAUCUCUCCAUAUAAAGGCUAACAGGAAGCUUACAUCCUCUCCUGUUGUGGAGCCAUCCACAACACCUCUCUGGAUUCAACCACUACCAAGUGUCUACCUUAUUUAGUGAUUGAACACCUAGGGUAGUUAUGAAACACCAGCCACUUAUUUUUCUGAAGACUUUACUUGUGUUUAAUCAUUUUGAGCUCACAACUUAAUACUAAAAAUUAGGCCCUAUUAACAUUUCAAUAUCUCAGAACAGAGAAACAAGUCACAGAGGGGUCUAUACAACUUUCUCAGGUACAUCGAGCUUCUAAGCAGAGUUUUGACCCAGGCCUUCAGUCAUGGACUAUGUACUUGCUGUGCUUCUAUAAUGCCUCAGGGAAAUAAAGCUAUUUGCUCACAAAACCUGUCUGUUGGGUGUUCAAAGUGUACACCCAGUUGCAAGAUCUCUAGAAGUCCAACUUGGCUUCACAAGGCUCUGCUGGUCAGCUGGCGAAUAAUGGAAUCAAAAGAUUGAUUGUGAAUACAUUAUCACUAAUUUCCCUAUGGACUUCUACAGCAAGGUGUCAGCAGUUCUCUCUAUUGCAAUGCAUUUCCCAGGAUCUUGUUUCAAGGAUGAAGAAGAAGAAAUGUUCCCCUGAGGUCAAGAAUAUCAACUGGCACCAGGCAGUGCUUCAGAAAACUCCACAUCUGGCAAACAACAGGGGGUACUCUAUAAAUGACCCCAUUGAGGUAUUGUGGAAAUUCACUCAUUAAGUUCAUUCAAGAAGAAGGAUUCUACUUUAGUCAGUGGCCCAUAUUUAAUAGAAAACCAUAAAAAUUUAAACCAUAUUCUUCUGUAUGCAAAGGGGGAUGAUCAAGGCUAUCAGUUGUGCUGUAACUGUAUAGAAGUCAAGAUACAUUUCUAACUCAAGAUUGGGCACACGUUUUACACUAAACAACAUCUCUAGCUGUUGUAUAGACCUUUAGCUGAUUUGUAAACAUUGGCUCUAAUAGAUCUCUUCCUAAAACAGUGUUUACAGAUUUUUAAGAACCUUAAUAGGCAUUAUUUAGAACAGGAGGUUUAGAUGAAUGUAAGAGUUGAACAGAUAAUGUAGAAAGUUCCCAUAUUCUACCCCUCCAGUUUCCCCAACUGAUAACAUCUAACACGAGUGUAGUACCUUUGGUAUAACUAGCAAAAUCAUAAUGGCACAUUUUCAUUAAAUUAAAGUCCACAGCUUCCAUUGAAAUUCA